Molecule: ribosomal RNA, 701 nt
Filed under: uncultured bacterium
Lineage: Bacteria
Description: bacterial SSU rRNA
Rfam family: Bacterial small subunit ribosomal RNA
Source: RNAcentral
AGAGUUUGAUCAUGGCUCAGAAUGAACGCUGGCGGCGUGCUUAACACAUGCAAGUCGAACGAGAAAGGGAUUGCUUGCAAUCCUGAGUAGAGUGGCGCACGGGUGAGUAACACGUAGAUAAUCUACCUUCGAUUUUGGGAUAACCAUCCGAAAGGGUGGCUAAUACCGGAUAAGGUUUUAAUACGCAAGUAUAAGAAUGAAAGUAUGCCUCUUCCUGAAAGCAUAUGAUUGGAGAUGAGUCUGCGGACCAUUAGCUUGUUGGUAGGGUAAAGGCCUACCAAGGCUACGAUGGUUAGCUGGUCUGAGAGGAUGAUCAGUCACACUGGAACUGGAACACGGUCCAGACUCCUACGGGAGGCAGCAGUGAGGAAUUUUGCGCAAUGGGGUAACCCCUGACGCAGCAACGCCGCGUGAGUGAAGAAGGCCUUUGGGUCGUAAAGCUCUGUCAACUGGGAAGAAGUUACAACGAUCUAAUAGGUAGUUGUAUUGACGGUACCAGUGGAGGAAGCGCCGGCUAACUCCGUGCCAGCAGCCGCGGUAAUACGGGGGGCGCAAGCGUUAUUCGGAAUUAUUGGGCGUAAAGGGCGUGUAGGCGGUCUUAUCGGUCAGAUGUGAAAGCCCAGGGCUCAACCCUGGACGUGCAUUUGAAACAGUAAGACUUGAGUACUGGAGAGGAAAGCGGAAUUCCUGGUGUAGAGGUG